GAAAUGCGAUAAUUAAUGUGAAUUGCAGAAUUCAGUGAAUCAUCGAGUCUUUGAACGCACAUUGCGCCCCCUGGUAUUCCGGGGGGCAUGCCUGUGCGAGCGUCAUUGCUGCCCUCAAGCACGGCUUGUGUGUUGGGCUUCCGUCCCUGGCAACGGGGACGGGCCCAAAAGGCAGUGGCGGCACCAUGUCUGGUCCUCGAGCGUAUGGGGCUUUGUCACCCGCUCCCGUAGGUCCAGCUGGCAGCUAGCCUCGCAACCAAUCUUUUUAACCAGGUUGACCUCGGAUCAGGUAGGGAUACCCGCUGAACUUAAGC
This 314-nucleotide unclassified non-coding RNA is filed under the name plant metagenome. RNAcentral's name for it is "partial contains 5.8S ribosomal RNA, internal transcribed spacer 2, and large subunit ribosomal RNA". The stretch from base 1 to 105 matches the Rfam family "5.8S ribosomal RNA", at positions 50 to 154 of the family's 154-position model. The record is from RNAcentral.